RNAcentral lists this ribosomal RNA (894 nucleotides) under Trichoderma citrinum. RNAcentral describes it as "LSU rRNA". It matches the Rfam family "Eukaryotic large subunit ribosomal RNA", at positions 40 to 961 of the family's 3401-position model. Lineage: Eukaryota; Fungi; Ascomycota; Sordariomycetes; Hypocreales; Hypocreaceae. The record is from RNAcentral.
AUAUCAAUAAGCGGAGGAAAAGAAACCAACAGGGAUUGCCCCAGUAACGGCGAGUGAAGCGGCAACAGCUCAAAUUUGAAAUCUGGCCCCUCUCGGGGUCCGAGUUGUAAUUUGUAGAGGAUGCUUUUGGCGAGGCGCCGCCCGAGUUCCCUGGAACGGGACGCCACAGAGGGUGAGAGCCCCGUCUGGCUGGCCGCCGAGCCUCUGUAAAGCUCCUUCGACGAGUCGAGUAGUUUGGGAAUGCUGCUCAAAAUGGGAGGUAUAUGUCUUCUAAAGCUAAAUACUGGCCAGAGACCGAUAGCGCACAAGUAGAGUGAUCGAAAGAUGAAAAGCACCUUGAAAAGAGGGUUAAAUAGUACGUGAAAUUGUUGAAAGGGAAGCGCUUGUGACCAGACUUGGGCGCGGCGGAUCAUCCGGGGUUCUCCCCGGUGCACUUCGCCGCGUCCAGGCCAGCAUCAGUUCGUCGCGGGGGAUAAAGGCUUCGGGAACGUGGCUCCUCCGGGAGUGUUAUAGCCCGUUGCAUAAUACCCUGCGGUGGACUGAGGACCGCGCAUCUGCAAGGAUGCUGGCGUAAUGGUCACCAGCGACCCGUCUUGAAACACGGACCAAGGAGUCGUCUUCGUAUGCGAGUGUUCGGGUGUCAAACCCCUACGCGUAAUGAAAGUGAACGCAGGUGAGAGCUUCGGCGCAUCAUCGACCGAUCCUGAUGUUCUCGGAUGGAUUUGAGUAAGAGCAUACGGGGCCGGACCCGAAAGAAGGUGAACUAUGCCUGUAUAGGGUGAAGCCAGAGGAAACUCUGGUGGAGGCUCGCAGCGGUUCUGACGUGCAAAUCGAUCGUCAAAUAUGGGCAUGGGGGCGAAAGACUAAUCGAACCUUCUAGUAGCUGGUUUCCGC